This 463-nucleotide ribosomal RNA is filed under the name Diporochaeta sp. Cradle Mt. RNAcentral describes it as "partial 16S ribosomal RNA". It matches the Rfam family "Bacterial large subunit ribosomal RNA", at positions 1842 to 2588 of the family's 2925-position model. The record is from RNAcentral. Lineage: Eukaryota; Metazoa; Annelida; Clitellata; Crassiclitellata; Megascolecidae.
AAAAUAUAAGGUAAUUCCUGCCCAGUGACAACAAAGUUCAACGGCCGCGGUAUCCUAACCGUGCAAAGGUAGCAUAAUCACUUGCCUAUUAAUUGUAGGCUAGAAUGAAUGGAUAAACGAAAUAAAAACUGUCUCAGUUAGUAAACUAAAAAUUAUUCUCUAUAUGAAGAAAUGUAGAUUAAUUCGAAGGACAAGAAGACCCUAUAGAGCUUUAUUUUUAAUUAUAGAAUAAGACUAUAUAAAAAUUCGGUUGGGGCGACCAAGGGAUUAUAUAUCACCCUUUAUAAAAUAGAUAAAUUAAUCAAUAUAAUGACCCUAUAAAGAUCAAAAAAUUAAGUUACCUUAGGGAUAACAGGCUAAUCCCAUUUAAGAGUCCAUAUCAACAAUGGGGUUUGGCACCUCGAUGUUGGCUUAGGGUAUCAAUAUAGCGCAAAAGUUAUAUAAAGAUGGUUUGUUCAACCAA